UAGUCCACGCCCUAAACGAUGAGAACUAGACGUUGGGUUCAACUUUAGAACCUAGUGUCAAAGCUAACGCGAUAAGUUCUCCGCCUGGGGAGUACGACCGCAAGGUUGAAACUCAAAGGAAUUGACGGGGGCCCGCACAAGCGGUGGAGCAUGUGGCUUAAUUCGAAGCAACGCGCAGAACCUUACCAACCCUUGACAUCCUAGGACCGGCCCAGAGAUGGGUCUUUCACUUCGGUGACCUAGUGACAGGUGCUGCACGGCUGUCGUCAGCUCGUGUCGUGAGAUGUUCGGUUAAGUCCGGCAACGAGCGCAACCCACAUCCUUAGUUGCCAGCAGUUCGGCUGGGCACUCUAGGGAAACUGCCCGUGAUAAGCGGGAGGAAGGUGUGGAUGACGUCAAGUCCUCAUGGCCCUUACGGGUUGGGCUACACACGUGCUACAAUGGCAGUGACAAUGGGUUAAUCCCAAAAACUGUCUCAGUUCGGAUUGGGGUCUGCAACUCGACCCCAUGAAGUCGGAAUCG
Molecule: ribosomal RNA, 522 nt
Filed under: uncultured bacterium
Lineage: Bacteria
Description: bacterial SSU rRNA
Rfam family: Bacterial small subunit ribosomal RNA
Source: RNAcentral